Molecule: long non-coding RNA, 618 nt
Organism: Penaeus monodon (black tiger shrimp)
Lineage: Eukaryota; Metazoa; Arthropoda; Malacostraca; Decapoda; Penaeidae
Exons: 3
Source: RefSeq, a predicted model, not a curated record
CAGAGACUUUGGGGGGGGGGGGGCAUGCUCUCCUCAAAUGACACCCCUGCCCUCAAGCCUGAAAAGUUUGUCGGAAAAGAAAACCGAUUCGCAAACAGGACAAGAAAACACUGAAGCCGCGUGUCGAGUUCAGGAACCGACUUCGCUUCCGGUGCGACGAACACUGAGGGUGACUCGUUGACCGUGAUCUGCCCAGCCCUUGACCUUUGCUUGGCGCGGCACGACUCCGGCGGUUGGAAAGCUGGAAGGUGAAGCGGCACACUUUUUUACCUCGAAAAAUUGGGAUCAAGCAAACUAAAUUAAUUUGGUAAAGGUUGAAGUUACUGUGAAUCAAACUUUGUUGGUAAGUUCUGGCCAUAACUUGAUAUUAUGUGUCAAAAGUCACACUAUUCAUGCAAAGGUGGAUAAAUUAGAUUUUGGAAGCUCGUUGGGAACAGACAAACGAUCUGAAUUGCUUGUUCAAAGGUCAAAGUUGGUGAGGCCACUGCAUGUCUUUGUGUGCUAUAAUUUUGUGACUUUAUUUUCAUGUAUGCUUUUACCUAGAUUUUGUUUUGUGUACUUGAACACCUGCUUGUCUAUAUUUUUUUUAAAAUAAAAUUAUGUAGCAAUCUAUUAUUA